GUCCUCACUCAGCUGAAACAAAGACCUAAGCUCCUCCAUUACCUUUAAAUAAAUUUUUGCUGUUGCUUUUGUCUCUAAUUUCAGUUUGGGCCUCUAAAAUUUUCUUUUUCCCUAUCUUUAUUUAUGCUUUAGGUGUUUAUGUUUUUUUCCCUUCUUUAAGCUAUCUAAAUCACAGCUAUCGUAUUGUGACUAGGUAAUUUUCUCUAGAAUGUUGAAUGAAUGACUGUUUCUUGAGCUUAUUUAUCUAGCAAUGUGCAAGUUGAAAUCAAAGAUUAAAGUUAGCAGAUUUUUGUUUACUGGAUAUUAGCUUUAGAAGUUUGUUUUGCUGCUCUUUUACUGGUUUUCUUUUUUAUAUUUGUUGCCCUUUGAGAUUAACUCUAGAGUUAUAGGUGUUGCUUUGAGACUUCCUUCGAGGUUUAUAUCUGAUAGUGUUAUGCUAUGGUGCAAUAUUUAACUUAUUAAAUUUGAAUGUGGGGACAGUAGAGCUAAGAUGUCUUUAAAUUUCCAAAAUAAUCUUGUUGGGUUUUCGGGCCAAUUUAAGUCACCUAAUUUUCUAAUAAAAUAGAUCUGUUGAGAUUUGAAUAUGAGUAGAAGAUAGCUACUCUGUAAACUUCAUAUGUGACAGUAGGUUGUUCUUUGUUUCAUAGUUUUUUGCUCUAAACUUGAUUUUCUGACAUUGGAUCUUUUUUCAUUUUUACAUCAAUACCAUUCUGUGGGGUGGUCUUCUAUACUGUAGUUAGGCAUCAUGUUUCCUAAGAAAUAUCACUUAGUUGUUCUUAUCAAAGAUGUGAUCAUUUAUUCUUUUGAAAGGUGAGACUGAAAAUUACUUAUGAAUAAGUCUUGUCAAAAGCGUAUGUGCUUUCAUUUGGUGUUUGCAUUUGUUAUCAUGGAUUCAGUGGACCAAUUAAAUGAAUGCUUAUUUAUUGUUCAGUUCAUGACAGUUUUGGUAGAGAAAAAAUCAAAGAUUAGAGAAAGUUUCAAAUUCUAUAGAUGCAAAAAACUAAUUUUGUAGAACUAGAAUUCUCCUCUUAGAGCUAACCUUCCAUAUCACAAUAAAAAGUGUUGAAAUUUGAAAAUAUUUAUAUUG
Molecule: unclassified non-coding RNA, 1087 nt
Filed under: Hevea brasiliensis (rubber tree)
Lineage: Eukaryota; Viridiplantae; Streptophyta; Magnoliopsida; Malpighiales; Euphorbiaceae
Source: RNAcentral